This is an RNA transcript of Panicum virgatum (switchgrass), 1716 nucleotides long. RefSeq lists it as uncharacterized. The record is from RefSeq and is a predicted model, not a curated record. The transcript is spliced from 2 exons. NCBI's taxonomy places the organism in Eukaryota, Viridiplantae, Streptophyta, Magnoliopsida, Poales, Poaceae.
CCUAUGAUACGAGGAGCAGACAAUGAAAUAUAUAUAAAACAAUUGUAUCUGUUAACUUGUCAGAACUUCUGCAUACAGGAUAUAACAUUAGGCAGAAAACUUGCAACAAGAACAAGUAACGGAAAUCUGAUUAAAAGCUGGCAUUCCCCUACUACAGCAGGACCCAAGGCUCCCCAUUCCCUUGAAAAUCGGGGAAAGAACCCUGCCACAGAACCAAAAAGUAAUUAUGACCAUCACUUCACUGCAUGCUGACAUGGAGUACUAUCAGUCACCGUUGACACAGCAGUAUAAUUUGCUGGCAUCCUGGACCAAACUCAGCAUCAAGCGGUGCCCAAACAGGCAGCGGAAGCAACUAACGCCAAUGAGUAUGAGCAGGAGGGAGGCCGCACAAGGGUCAGGGAGAGCUAUUCACGUGAACGCAUUGCAAAAGUGGCAAUCAUGGGAAAAUCGAUGAACACAUGAUCUGCAAGGAUUUCAGAACAUAGGUUUGGUUCUUAUCUCACACACAAGCAAUGUUCUUAAGGCGUUGAGGCGAGGUGUGGCGCCCUACCUCCUCUGGACGCCUAGGCGAGGCGAGGCGACGCCAUACACCAACGUAAAAGCAGAAUAUUAGCAGUAUAAUUAGCAGUAUAAAGGGGAAAAGAAAUGAGAAAAGAAGAAAAAAAAGAGAAAAGGCCCAGGAAGAAUGUAAGGCCCAGCCCACCAAAUCACUACCAGCCCAUAAACUACUCAUCUCCUCCCAUCAGCCCACCCGCUCCCCCCCUACCCUAUCUCGUCGUGCGCCGCCACUCCCUUCGCGGCCACCCCAGACGGAGCACCAGCGCCGCCAGUUCUCCUCCCUACCGCGGCCACCCCUAGAUGGAGCACCAGCGCCGCCGCUCCUCCUCCCUGCCGCGGCCACCCCCAGAUGGAGCACCAGUGCCCCCGCUCCUCCCUGCCGCGGCCACCCCCAGAUGGAGCUAUGGCGCCGCCGCUCCUCCCUGCCGGACGGCGCGGAGGCGGUGCUGCCCAGGCGCAGCACUGUCGGAGACGGCAGGUACAACAUCAUCUUGCUAUCGCUGAUCGGUUUUCGUCCUCUUUCUCCCUUCUCCCUCCCUCCAUCCCUUCCUGACAUGAAUUAGGCAAGGCGUCCAGGACGCCUUGGAGCCUUGGAGCGCCUCAUCGCCUAGGCGACGACUAGGCGACGCCUAGGCGACGCCUUAAGAACUAUGCACACAAGGAUCAACAAGCAGGUGCACCACACGUGUAAUCUUUUUUUUCUUUUUUAAAGAUCCUCAUGCAUACCAUCACUAGGUCUUAGGUAUGUCAAUUUCUAACAUUGACAAUCACAUUCUCCUUAAGGCCCAUGAGUUCCUUAGUGAUGUGAUAAGCCAAGUGUACGUCCAUGAGUUUCUACAUGAGCUGAUCAACCAAGUGAAGGUUCUUGUUACUGUCUUGAGAUGACCAAGAAAGUGCUAGACAUUGUCAGACAGGCUCCUGAUGGAGGGCGGGGUCUGCUGAUAGCCGAAACAGGAAGCAGACUGAUGGCCGUGGAGGAGGACCUGAUUGUGACUCCAUCCAACUGCACAAGCUUGGUACAGCUGAGUGUUUGUCCUUCUGAUGUCAAGUUCAUUUAUUUAGAGUUGUGUUUGCUGAAACUGAGUUGCCAGACUUGUUUGACUGAUGCUGUGAAACGCUAAGCAUUCUGUCCUCAUGCAAUUCAAUGGAUAGGGCAGA